RNAcentral lists this unclassified non-coding RNA (710 nucleotides) under Bombus terrestris (buff-tailed bumblebee). RNAcentral's name for it is "misc RNA ENSBTSG00005036944.1". The record is from RNAcentral. Lineage: Eukaryota; Metazoa; Arthropoda; Insecta; Hymenoptera; Apidae.
CCGUAAUUGGCUGAGUUUGCGGUCCUUCACCCACCGAGGUCACCGCCGCGAUACUAAACUCGUACUGGUUUUUCUUGUGCAAAUUCUCCACCUGAUAGCUGGUUUGAUACGGAGGCAAUGCCCGCUUGUACCAUUUUCCCUCCGGGCCAACCCAGCGGAUAUGAACGUUGUACGACGUGAUGUUCCCGUUGCUUCUGAGCGGCGGCUGCCAGGAUACGAUAAUCGAUGUCGCCGACCUGACGACCGCCUUCACGCCCGCUGGUACCUCCGGUAGAUCUUCCUCGGUGACGCAAUGCAAAGGCUGUGAAUCACGACGGUCAAGGCAGUGGUGAUCUUGGUUUCCGUCUUAGGCGACUCGGUCAGGGCGUUCAUGUUCUCCCAUAUGACUUUGUAGCCUUUCAGAAUACCGUUCAGACUGGAGUCGGGUGGCGCGUCCCACGAGACCUGCAGUGAUUGCGAGGACAGCGGCGUACACCGAAUGUCUUGCGGCGGACUGCUAGGCACUGAGGACAUUUCAACGAUGUCGCCAGUCAAUUACGCUAACAUACUAGAUUUGACAUUAGAAAUGCUAAUGCUGUCAAAAUGCUAUAUUUCGGAUUGCCUGUAUUUAUAGAAAGCACGUAGAUGAAUAUCGAUUUUUAUUCAGAAGUGCAAUUAGUAUACGUAGGAAUUAUAUCUAAAGGCUCGACGAUCGAAUUCUGUGAAUAUUC